RNAcentral lists this ribosomal RNA (464 nucleotides) under uncultured bacterium. RNAcentral's name for it is "partial 16S ribosomal RNA". It matches the Rfam family "Bacterial small subunit ribosomal RNA", at positions 28 to 507 of the family's 1533-position model. The record is from RNAcentral.
GACGAACGCUGGCGGCGUGCCUAACACAUGCAAGUCGAGCGAAUGAAGUUCCUUCGGGAAUGGAUUUAGCGGCGGACGGGUGAGUAACACGUGGGCAACCUGCCUCAUAGAGGGGAAUAGCCUCCCGAAAGGGAGAUUAAUACCGCAUAAGAUUGUAGUACCGCAUGAUACAGCAAUUAAAGGAGCAAUCCGCUAUGAGAUGGGCCCGCGGCGCAUUAGCUAGUUGGUGAGGUAAUGGCUCACCAAGGCGACGAUGCGUAGCCGACCUGAGAGGGUGAUCGGCCACAUUGGGACUGAGACACGGCCCAGACACCUACGGGAGGCAGCAGUGGGGAAUAUUGCACAAUGGGGGAAACCCUGAUGCAGCAACGCCGCGUGAGUGAUGACGGCCUUCGGGUUGUAAAGCUCUGUCUUCAGGGACGAUAAUGACGGUACCUGAGGAGGAAGCCACGGCUAACUACGUG